GGGAAGUUGGCUCAGUGGUAGAGUGCUUGCCUUGCAUGCAUGAGGUCCUAGGUUUGACUCCUCA
This 64-nucleotide transfer RNA is filed under the name Dipodomys ordii (Ord's kangaroo rat). It matches the Rfam family "tRNA", at positions 1 to 63 of the family's 71-position model. Rfam says of the family: Transfer RNA (tRNA) molecules are approximately 80 nucleotides in length. Their secondary structure includes four short double-helical elements and three loops (D, anti-codon, and T loops). The record is from Rfam by way of RNAcentral. Lineage: Eukaryota; Metazoa; Chordata; Mammalia; Rodentia; Heteromyidae.